UACAGAGGGGGCAAGCGUUAUUCGGAAUUAUUGGGCGUAAAGAGCGUGUAGGCGGCCAUACAGGUCCGUUGUGAAAACUCGAGGCUUAACCUCGAGACGUCGAUGGAAACCGUAUGGCUAGAGUCCGGAAGAGGAGAGUGGAAUUCCUGGUGUAGCGGUGAAAUGCGCAGAUAUCAGGAGGAACGCCGGUGGCGAAGGCGGGUCUCUGGGCAACAACUGACGCUGAGGAGCGAAAGCGUGGGGAGCGAACAGG
Molecule: ribosomal RNA, 253 nt
Filed under: uncultured bacterium
Lineage: Bacteria
Description: partial 16S ribosomal RNA
Rfam family: Bacterial small subunit ribosomal RNA
Source: RNAcentral